CUCAUUUUGUUGUUGAUUUGUUUGGUGAAACAGAUUGCUAUUAGUAAACUAUCAGCUAAAUAUGCUUUCAAUUGUAUUAAUCAAAUGGUUGACAAAAGAGAUGAUUAUUGAGAAAUAAUCAGAUCUUUUGUUUUCCCUUUUCUGAUUUAUGGUGAAACUUUUUCUUCUCCUUCUUGCUCUCGCUUUAUUUUUGUUUGUGUUUCGCCAUGUUAUGAGUUGGUGAUUUAUUGCAUUACUGGAAGACCUUUCAACAGUCAACAGUUUAACUGUCAACAAUUGUUACACAAAAGAGAUUCAGAGAUUGAACAUGAACAAGAAACUGACCCAAAAGAUUAACUUGGAAAGGGAAAGGUUGCCUCAAGUGGCUGAAUUAAGCUUUGCUAAGAGAGAAUCAAAAAACGCGCUUCACUUUGGUUGACAAGGAAAGAUUAAGUCGCCCCCUUUCUUCAUUAACAUAUGAUUUAUCAAAUGUCUUUGUUAGGUACUUUAUUAAUAAGUUUUAAUUAUAUCUAGUUUUUAAUUGGUUAAUUAGUCUGUAAUGAUUCUGUAACGAUAGUCAACGGUUAUUUAAUUGUAUUUAUUGUUUCUAAUGCCAUUUCUUAUGAUUUUAUUCAGCUACAGUUAACAUGCCAUUGGGUCUUUGGAUUGGCUUGGUCAACAUCUUGGCGUUCAAACUCAAUAUAACCAAUUGAAUGACUAGACAAAAGCAUAUGGAUUUAUUACAAGAGGAGAAAGGGCAAUAUUACAAUAUUUGAAUUGUUAAUAGUGGGAUUCUAUGUGCAUUGGUUUGGUCAAUAUCUCUGGGCUCUGAUUCGUUUUGGUGGAUGUUUCAUUCAACAUCAAGAGGAUAGUUUAUUGUUGAAGUGUUUCUGUGACAAUUAUGGAUUCAUGGUAUCUUCAAUUUUCACCAUUUCAGGAGAAGGAAAGACAAGUUGGAUGUUAUCUAGAUGGAAAUGUUGCUGAAUUUAUUUGCUGAUUUUGAGAAACUUUUUCUAUCCACCUGAGAAUAUGGCAAUGGAAUAUGACCAUUUAUAUUGAUAAGAAAUGGUUUGCUGGUGUCCAUAAAAAUUGAUAACUUUCCACCUUCUAUCAUUUCAUCCUGCUAAUCAGAAUAUGAGGAUUGUUUGCAGUUAUAAUAAAUACAUGUUUCUAUAUAAAUUUAUCUACAUAAAUAACUGAGUCAAUUCUGGAAAGCAUUAAACGUUCCCUGGAGCUCAAUUACUGGAUAUCAAGCAAGCUGGAAGAUGAGAGAGGAAAGGAAAAAAAGUUGUCAGUUGAAAAGUGAAAAAAUCAAACACUUAACAGCAACAUUUAAGGAAGAAACAACGAUAAAUGAAGAAGAAUGUGAAAAUUCAAAUAUUCAAAAGUUUCACUUUUUUCCACUUGCUGUUGCUACUUUUCCAGUUGCGAUGUUUCUCCUAAUACAAAUAAAUAAAUUUGUGAAUAGAUGAUGGUCAAAAUAUUCAUUGAUCUGCAAACAACUUGUAAAUGAUGGUAAGGAUGAGCGCUAUACAGCACCACCAACACCAACAACAAUAACAAUAAUGGCAACACAUAAGGUUACAUCAAUAAGGUUUAACAAUUGAUUGCACUGGAGACAGGGAAUAAAUAAAUUGUUGGAAAGGAGAAAAUAUUUUUCUCUUUCUCCUGAAAAUUCUUUCCAUUUUUUACCACUCACUUCGCCUGCCACAGUUUUUGCAAUACAAAUGAAUCCAGGAGCAGAAACAAGGAUGACUCGGGAUGAAGAUGAUGAGGAUGAUGAGGAGAUAAAUUUUUCACCAUUUUAAAGUCGACUGGAAAGACUGACUAAAACUGUUAUCAGUUAAAAUGCAGAAAUAAUAUAAUAAAGAGAAAGUUGAAAAGGCAAAGUAAAGGGGAAAUCUCACUCUCUCUCUUCAUCAUCAUCUUAAUGUGUAAUUUCAUCUUCUUCUUAUCAUCACACCAAUGUUUCAAUCCAAUGGAUAAAUGUCUUGGGUUGCAAAUAGUUGUCAGCAUCAUGUUUAAAUCCCUCGAGGACUAUUUUACUUGUCUCCAGUUUAUUUGUGUUUAUUAAAAAAAUUUCAUUCCUUUUCAUCCUUUACCUUUUUAAUAUUAAACUAGUUUCAUCAUGUUCA
Long non-coding RNA from Tetranychus urticae (two-spotted spider mite), 2114 nucleotides. RefSeq lists it as uncharacterized. The record is from RefSeq and is a predicted model, not a curated record. Lineage: Eukaryota; Metazoa; Arthropoda; Arachnida; Trombidiformes; Tetranychidae.